This 774-nucleotide ribosomal RNA is filed under the name uncultured Neocallimastigales. RNAcentral's name for it is "partial large subunit ribosomal RNA". It matches the Rfam family "Eukaryotic large subunit ribosomal RNA", at positions 26 to 616 of the family's 3401-position model. The record is from RNAcentral. Lineage: Eukaryota; Fungi; Neocallimastigomycota; Neocallimastigomycetes; Neocallimastigales.
CGCAUCUGUGCAUGCAGCAUAUCAAUAAGCGGAGGAAAAGAAACUAACAAGGAUUCCCCUAGUAACGGCGAGUGAAGCGGGAAGAGCUCAAAUUUGAAAUCUUAAAGGGUUUCCCUUUACGAAUUGUAGUUUAAAGAAGUGUUUUCUGUUGAGGUUUUGGUAAAAGUUCUUUGGAAUAGGGCAUCAUAGAGGGUGAGAAUCCCGUAUUUGACCUUUACUUUCAACUUUGUGAUACACCUUCAAAGAGUCGGAUUGUUUGGGAAUGCAGUCCAAAAUGGGUGGUAAAUUUCAUCUAAAGCCAAAUAUUGGCGAGAGACCGAUAGCGAACAAGUACCGUGAGGGAAAGAUGAAAAGAACUUUGAAAAGAGAGUUAAACAGUACGUGAAAUUGUCAAAAGGGAAGCGUUUGACACCAGUGUUGUUUUUCUGAAAAUCAAUUAAAGAACUGUUUAUGCUAAGUUGUUUAGACUUUAUCAGCUAACUGUUUAGUUUUGAGCUUUUCUUUAAUGCACUUUUCAGUUAACAAGUCAACAUCAAUUUCUUUUGCUGUAAAAAAGCUUGAGGAAGGUGGCUUGAGAUUCGUCUUAAGUGUUUAUAGCCUCUUGCCUAUGCAGUCGGAGAGAUUGAGGUCUGCAGCGUAGAUCCUUCGGGGCUAAAUGCAUUUGUGCUAAGUUAUAACAUUUUAUAGACAACUUGUUGACUAUGAUUUGUCUUGUAGCUUACUCGCUUAUGUUAUUUUACCUACGCUUAGGAUGUUGAGCGCAUGUCUCUCUCU